RNAcentral lists this ribosomal RNA (774 nucleotides) under uncultured Neocallimastigales. Its description in RNAcentral is "partial large subunit ribosomal RNA". It matches the Rfam family "Eukaryotic large subunit ribosomal RNA", at positions 24 to 649 of the family's 3401-position model. Lineage: Eukaryota; Fungi; Neocallimastigomycota; Neocallimastigomycetes; Neocallimastigales. The record is from RNAcentral.
GUAGUCUCGCACAGAUGCAUAUCAAUAAGCGGAGGAAAAGAAACUAACAAGGAUUCCCCUAGUAACGGCGAGUGAAGCGGGAAGAGCUCAAAUUUGAAAUCUUAAAGGGUUUCCCUUUACGAAUUGUAGUUUAAAGAAGUGUUUUCUGUUGAGGUUUUGGUAAAAGUUCUUUGGAAUAGGACAUCAUAGAGGGUGAGAAUCCCGUAUUUGACCUUUACUUUCAACUUUGUGAUACACUUUCAAAGAGUCGGAUUGUUUGGGAAUGCAGUCCAAAAUGGGUGGUAAAUUUCAUCUAGAGCUAAAUAUUGGCGAGAGACCGAUAGCGAACAAGUACCGUGAGGGAAAGAUGAAAAGAACUUUGAAAAGAGAGUUAAACAGUACGUGAAAUUGUCAAAAGGGAAGCGUUUGACACCAGUGUUGUUUUCCUGAAAGUCAAUUAAAGAACUGUUUAUGCUAAGCUGUUUAGACUUUAUCAGCUAACUGUUUAGUUUUGAGCUUUUCUUUAAUGCACUUUUCAGUUAACAAGUCAACAUCAAUUUCUUUUGCUGUAAAAAAGCUUGAGGAAGGUGGCUUGAGAUUCGUCUUAAGUGUUUAUAGCCUCUUGCCUAUGCAGUCGGAGAGAUUGAGGUCUGCAGCGUAGAUCCUUCGGGGCUAAAUGCAUUUGUGCUAAGUUAUAGCAUUUUAUAGACAACUUGUUGACUAUGAUUUGUCUUGUAGCUUACUCGCUUAUGUUAUUUUACCUACGCUUAGGAUGUUGAGUAGCGACAUACGCAC